This 595-nucleotide ribosomal RNA is filed under the name uncultured bacterium. RNAcentral's name for it is "bacterial SSU rRNA". It matches the Rfam family "Bacterial small subunit ribosomal RNA", at positions 788 to 1383 of the family's 1533-position model. The record is from RNAcentral.
UGGUAGUNCACGCCGUAAACGAUGAGUGCUAGGUGUUAGGCCCUUUCCGGGGCUUAGUGCCGGAGCUAACGCAAUAAGCACUCCGCCUGGGGAGUACGACCGCAAGGUUGAAACUCAAAGGAAUUGACGGGGGCCCGCACAAGCGGUGGAGCAUGUGGUUUAAUUCGAAGCAACGCGAAGAACCUUACCAGGUCUUGACAUCCCGAUGCUAUUCUUAGAGAUAGGAAGUUACUUCGGUACAUCGGAGACAGGUGGUGCAUGGUUGUCGUCAGCUCGUGUCGUGAGAUGUUGGGUUAANNNNNNCAACGAGCGCAACCCUUAUUGUUAGUUGCCAUCAUUAAGUUGGGCACUCUAGCGAGACUGCCGGUAAUAAACCGGAGGAAGGUGGGGAUGACGUCAAAUCAUCAUGCCCCUUAUGACCUGGGCUACACACGUGCUACAAUGGUCGGUACAACGAGUUGCGAGCCGGUGACGGCAAGCUAAUCUCUGAAAGCCGAUCUCAGUUCGGAUUGGAGGCUGCAACUCGCCUCCAUGAAGUCGGAAUCGCUAGUAAUCGCGGAUCAGCACGCCGCGGUGAAUACGUUCCCGGGCCUNG